Long non-coding RNA from Ixodes scapularis (black-legged tick), 497 nucleotides. RefSeq lists it as uncharacterized. The transcript has 3 exons. Lineage: Eukaryota; Metazoa; Arthropoda; Arachnida; Ixodida; Ixodidae. The record is from RefSeq and is a predicted model, not a curated record.
UCACAGCCUGAUGCGGAAGGAGCUCCGGCCGAUAUCGGGACAGAAAUUCCUCAGCCUGCUGCCGAUCUUGGGGCAGAAAUUCCUCAGGAGGGCGCUGCAGCUGGAGGAGAAGGCGCGUUGAGUCCAGGCGACGAGCCAGCCUCCCCUCCGUAGCUGAAUACUCUUCCAGAGCUUCAGCCCGGACGUUCAGCGACUACGGCACCACCGUGUGCACACUCAGUUCAAGGAACUCGGGGUCACUAAUAGGGCUACGCUUAUAGAGUGUCGGCACUCUAUUAGCCGGUUUUUCUCUAGGCGCCGCCAUUUGUUUGCUCAGUUCAGUUCGGGCGCGUCUGGUGAUAGUUACAUUUCGAAAAUGCAACUUCUUGAAUUUUAAUACAAUGCUAUGCACCCUGUUGCAGGCGUUCUUGUACACGUUAUUCAAGAAACGUAAUCAGGACAUCCGUCGCCAAUGUUGCAAAACUUGGAGGACGCUUAAAGGGGCCAUGAAAGGAUUG